This 491-nucleotide ribosomal RNA is filed under the name uncultured bacterium. RNAcentral's name for it is "partial 16S ribosomal RNA". It matches the Rfam family "Bacterial small subunit ribosomal RNA", at positions 27 to 507 of the family's 1533-position model. The record is from RNAcentral.
GAUUGAACGCUGGCGGCAGGCCUAACACAUGCAAGUCGAAUGGUAACAGGAAACAGCUUGCUGUUUCGCUGACGAGUGGCGGACGGGUGAGUAAUGUCUGGGAAACUGCCUGAUGGAGGGGGAUAACUACUGGAAACGGUAGCUAAUACCGCAUAACGUCGCAAGACCAAAGAGGGGGACCUUCGGGCCUCUUGCCAUCAGAUGUGCCCAGAUGGGAUUAGCUAGUAGGUGGGGUAACGGCUCACCUAGGCGACGAUCCCUAGCUGGUCUGAGAUGAUGACAAGCCACACUGGAACUGCAACACGGACCAGACUCCUACGGGAGACAGCAGUGGGGAAUAUUGCACAAUGAGCGCAAGCCUGAUGCAGCCCUGCCGCGUGUAUGAAGAAGGCCUUCGGGUUGUAAAGUACUUUCAGCGGGGAGGAAGGGAGUAAAGUUAAUACCUUUGCUCAUUGACGUUACCCGCAGAAGAAGCACCGGCUAACUCCGUG